Molecule: ribosomal RNA, 253 nt
Filed under: uncultured bacterium
Lineage: Bacteria
Description: partial 16S ribosomal RNA
Rfam family: Bacterial small subunit ribosomal RNA
Source: RNAcentral
UACGUAGGGUCCGAGCGUUGUCCGGAAUUACUGGGCGUAAAGGGCGCGUAGGCGGCCCGCUAAGUCGAACGUGAAAUCCCCAGGCUCAACCUGGGAACUGCGUCCGAUACUGGCAGGCUUGAAUCCGGGAGAGGGAUGUGGAAUUCCAGGUGUAGCGGUGAAAUGCGUAGAUAUCUGGAGGAACACCGGUGGCGAAGGCGGCAUCCUGGACCGGUAUUGACGCUGAGGCGCGAAAGCUAGGGGAGCAAACGGG